This 253-nucleotide ribosomal RNA is filed under the name uncultured bacterium. RNAcentral's name for it is "partial 16S ribosomal RNA". It matches the Rfam family "Bacterial small subunit ribosomal RNA", at positions 524 to 776 of the family's 1533-position model. The record is from RNAcentral.
UACGGGGGGUGCGAGCGUUGUCCGGAAUCACUGGGCGUAAAGGGCGCGUAGGUGGUUUGAUAAGGGUGUGGUGAAAGUCCGGAGCUCAACUCCGGAUCUGCCAUGCCGACUGUCAAACUCGAGGGCUGUAGAGGCAGACGGAAUUCCGCGUGUAGCAGUGAAAUGCGUAGAUAUGCGGAGGAACACCGAUGGCGAAUGCAAUCCCCUGGGCCUGCACUGACGCUCAUGCACGAAAGCGUGGGGAGCAAACAGG